This 442-nucleotide ribosomal RNA is filed under the name uncultured bacterium. RNAcentral's name for it is "partial 16S ribosomal RNA". It matches the Rfam family "Bacterial small subunit ribosomal RNA", at positions 338 to 795 of the family's 1533-position model. The record is from RNAcentral.
CCUACGGGUGGCAGCAGUAGGGAAUCUUUCACAAUGGGCGAAAGCCUGAUGGAGCACCGCCGCGUGCAGGAUGAAGGCCUUCGGGUUGUAAACUGCUUUUAUAAGCGAGAAAUAUGAUGGUAACUUAUGAAUAAGGAUCGGCUAACUACGUGCCAGCAGCCGCGGUCAUACGUAGGAUCCGAGCAUUAUCCGGAGUGACUGGGUGUAAAGAGUUGCGUAGGUGGCAUAAUAAGUAGCUAGUGAAAUCUGGUGGCUCAACCAUUCAGACUAUUAGCUAAACUGUUAAGCUCGAGACCGUUAGGGGUAACUGGAAUUUCUAGUGUAGGAGUGAAAUCCGUAGAUAGUAGAAGGAACACCAAUAGCGUAGGCAGGUUGCUGGGACGGUUCUGACACUAAGGCACGAAAGCGUAGGGAGCAAACGGGAUUAGAUACCCCAGUAGUC